AGGUUGAUCUCUCCAGUUUCUUCUGUGUCCUAAAAGGCUUUAUAAUUAAAACAAGUGGGAGAAGUUUGGUGCAUUGUGACAUUUUAAGUGAAUUGGAACUGAACUGCAGAUGUACUCUAAAGCCCUUGUAACAGAUACGGCCCACAUAAGGGGGAUUCCCUGGACAUCAGGACUACUUUCCACUGCAGAAGCACAACCAAACACUGGCUGAAGCAUCCAUCCCACUACAGCUUUGGUCAUACCUACUUCUGUGUUUAGAGUACACUUCAUAUUGAUAAUCUCCAAAGUGACACAGGCUUGGAGUAGAAGGAGCAGCCAAGGUGUUCACAAAACCAUGUAUGAAAACUCCUGUGUCCUAUUAGCACUCUCUGAAUCCAUAUGUCUCUCUUUACACCCAGUAAACAUUGUGCCCUAAACUAUGGUAUUCUUACUGUUAUUGUUAUUUAUCAUGUAAAAUUUACAUUUUCGAGACUUGAAUGUGGGAAAAACAUCGUACUUUUCCCCUUAUUUUAAGAAAAUUAGACUUCAGGGUAAAUAUGCUAGACAAACUGUUGAAGAGUGGCACAGCUUAGAGGUAAAUGGAGUAAGAAUAUGUGGCUGAAACAAUUAUUGUUUCAGAAGUCCAGUCAUGAAGAAAUCCAUAAUUAUAGUUCUGUGUGAGACCAGUGCAUUUCCCUUCUGAUU
Molecule: long non-coding RNA, 684 nt
Organism: Columba livia (rock pigeon)
Lineage: Eukaryota; Metazoa; Chordata; Aves; Columbiformes; Columbidae
Exons: 3
Source: RefSeq, a predicted model, not a curated record